UACGGAGGGUGCAAGCGUUAUCCGGAUUUACUGGGUUUAAAGGGUGUGUAGGCGGACUUUUAAGUCCGUGGUGAAAUCUCCGGGCUCAACCCGGAAACUGCCAUGGAUACUAUUGGUCUUGAAUGUUGUUGAGGUGGGCGGAACGGGUCAUGUAGCGGUGAAAUGCAUAGAUAUGACCCGGAACACCGAUUGCGAAGGCAGCCCACUAAGCAAUGAUUGACGCUGAGGCACGAAAGCGUGGGGAGCAAACAGG
Molecule: ribosomal RNA, 253 nt
Filed under: uncultured bacterium
Lineage: Bacteria
Description: partial 16S ribosomal RNA
Rfam family: Bacterial small subunit ribosomal RNA
Source: RNAcentral